CGCAGUUCUUAUUUAGAUCAUGGAAGCAAAGCCUCAGAAAUCAGGUUCACUGGAGAUCUCAUGCUGUUGUCAUCUCUCCAUUCUUCAUCUUGUUUUACUUCCUGCAGUUACCUUUACUUAGGAGGUCAGAUUGUAAGUGAUACAAAUGGCCUUUCACUCUACAGUCAUCUGGUAUCAAAUAAAUCUCUAUGAGUACAUUUCCUUUUUCUCUGGUAGCCCAUGUUUGAC
This 228-nucleotide long non-coding RNA is filed under the name Homo sapiens (human). Its description in RNAcentral is "HSALNT0140244". Lineage: Eukaryota; Metazoa; Chordata; Mammalia; Primates; Hominidae. The record is from RNAcentral.